Molecule: long non-coding RNA, 734 nt
Filed under: Erythranthe guttata (spotted monkey flower)
Lineage: Eukaryota; Viridiplantae; Streptophyta; Magnoliopsida; Lamiales; Phrymaceae
Description: long non-coding RNA (EGUT_LNC002129)
Source: RNAcentral
UGGUCAUAUCAAAUUAGUUUUGCUUAUUGGUUCUUCUGUGUUUCCAGUCAGUACAAGUGGCCAAAGAUCCUACCAUAUGUUAAAAUCACACACGGUGAAUUGAUUUUACUCUUACAGAUUGCUUGAUUUUCUCAAGUAUAAGCUCUAUCAAUCUUUUUUUCUUUUAAUUUCAUAUUAUCUAUUUCUCUAAUAUGUCAUAAAUUUUCUUCUAUUUUGCUAGAUGUCAGCCAUUUCAGUAGCAUGAUCUUUAAACGUUAAUGGGAUGAAUUUUUUUUCUUGGCUGAAAGUUUGAAUGGAGAUUCAAGUUAAGUUUGCUAUUCUCACUUCUCAAUUUCGUUUUAUCUUCUCUAUCAUUUGUUUCUUCUCCUGGUAAUAUAAAUUUUCAACAGCAUGUCUACAUUUGAAGCUAAAUAUUAUACCUAAGUAGUCAUUAGCAUCUAAGUUGUCUUCUUAGCUUAAGUCACUGUUUGGCUAAUUACAUGUAUGUUGUCUUUCUUUUAUGAGCUAGAUUUUAGGAUGGGAUUCAAGUGAAGCAUGAAGACCCAAGCACGAGGAUCUCGCGAGAGAACAUUGUACUGAAUAUAAGACUGACUAGCAUGCUUUUGGAAGACUACUAUUAGAAUUGGUAAUUCAAGUUUAUAAUAUUGUGCACUGAUUUUGUAUGAAUGAUACUUUUAUUGGUAUAUAACAUAUUAAUAGGUAUUAAAUUAUGGCAUUGAUACGUGUAGUGUGUG